CUUGUUGGGGUUGUAGGACACUCUAUACGGAGUUACAAAGGACGACAUUAGACGAAUCAUCUGGAAAGAUGAAUCAAAGAAGGUAAUAAUCCUGUAGUCGAAAAUGUUGUCUCUCUUGAGUGGAUCCUGAGUACGACGGAGCACGUGAAAUUCCGUCGGAAUCUGGGAGGACCAUCUCCUAAGGCUAAAUACUCUCUAGUGACCGAUAGUGAACCAGUACCGUGAGGGAAAGGUGAAAAGCACCCCGGAAGGGGAGUGAAAUAGAACCUGAAACCGUGUGCUUACAAGUAGUCAGAGCCCGUUAAUGGGUGAUGGCGUGCCUUUUGUAGAAUGAACCGGCGAGUUACGAUUUGAUGCAAGGUUAAGCAGUAAAUGUGGAGCCGUAGCGAAAGCGAGUCUGAAUAGGGCGUUUAGUAUUUGGUCGUAGACCCGAAACCAGGUGAUCUACCCUUGGUCAGGUUGAAGUUCAGGUAACACUGAAUGGAGGACCGAACCGACUUACGUUGAAAAGUGAGCGGAUGAACUGAGGGUAGCGGAGAAAUUCCAAUCGAACCUGGAGAUAGCUGGUUCUCUCCGAAAUAGCUUUAGGGCUAGCCUCAAGUGAUGAUUAUUGGAGGUAGAGCACUGUUUGGACGAGGGGCCCCUCUCGGGUUACCGAAUUCAGACAAACUCCGAAUGCCAAUUAAUUUAACUUGGGAGUCAGAACAUGGGUGAUAAGGUCCGUGUUCGAAAGGGAAACAGCCCAGACCACCAGCUAAGGUCCCAAAAUAUAUGUUAAGUGGAAAAGGAUGUGGCGUUGCCCAGACAACUAGGAUGUUGGCUUAGAAGCAGCCAUCAUUUAAAGAGUGCGUAAUAGCUCACUAGUCGAGUGACACUGCGCCGAAAAUGUACCGGGGCUAAACAUAUUACCGAAGCUGUGGAUUGUCCUUUGGACAAUGGUAGGAGAGCGUUCUAAGGGCGUUGAAGCAUGAUCGUAAGGACAUGUGGAGCGCUUAGAAGUGAGAAUGCCGGUGUGAGUAGCGAAAGACGGGUGAGAAUCCCGUCCACCGAUUGACUAAGGUUUCCAGAGGAAGGCUCGUCCGCUCUGGGUUAGUCGGGUCCUAAGCUGAGGCCGACAGGCGUAGGCGAUGGAUAACAGGUUGAUAUUCCUGUACCACCUAUAAUCGUUUUAAUCGAUGGGGGGACGCAGUAGGAUAGGCGAAGCGUGCGAUUGGAUUGCACGUCUAAGCAGUAAGGCUGAGUAUUAGGCAAAUCCGGUACUCGUUAAGGCUGAGC
This 1275-nucleotide ribosomal RNA is filed under the name Staphylococcus aureus. RNAcentral's name for it is "partial 23S ribosomal RNA". It matches the Rfam family "Bacterial large subunit ribosomal RNA", at positions 288 to 1561 of the family's 2925-position model. Lineage: Bacteria; Bacillati; Bacillota; Bacilli; Caryophanales; Staphylococcaceae. The record is from RNAcentral.